AUGUGUUUCAAUUUCUGGCCUUGCACCGACCAUCCAACGGACCAUGGAAUAAACGGCCACUGCCUGAAAGGAUGCUAUGUCCAGGGGACCGCUGCCCUCCACAAGGUACAUCUUGCGCCUAUGGGCCGCUAUAACUAUCCAAGACACUCGAAAAAGGAAGGAUAA
This 165-nucleotide ribosomal RNA is filed under the name Triticum aestivum (bread wheat). RNAcentral's name for it is "partial small subunit ribosomal RNA". Lineage: Eukaryota; Viridiplantae; Streptophyta; Magnoliopsida; Poales; Poaceae. The record is from RNAcentral.